AUGGAGCUGCCGACCAGGAUUGUUGUUGGCUUCUAUAAGAAGGGAGGGUCCUCGGCUCGAAUCUCCAUCAGGUCAAUUUUGGACGAAGCAUCCAAUGUCGACACCGAGUUCGCCGCAGGAAGAAGCCCGGAGUUCGCCGGAGGUAGAAGAAGCGCCGAGUUCGCCGAAGGUAGAAGAACAGCCGUCGAGCUGUCCAAUCUCGCGUGCGUUGGCUACAACAGAGAUGGUGCCAAAGGCGGAGGGGCAGCUGCGCGGCUGUACGAGCUACAACAGCAGACUGACAUUUGGCCGGCUGGGAGAACCCAAUUGUAG
RNAcentral lists this ribosomal RNA (312 nucleotides) under Triticum aestivum (bread wheat). Its description in RNAcentral is "partial small subunit ribosomal RNA". Lineage: Eukaryota; Viridiplantae; Streptophyta; Magnoliopsida; Poales; Poaceae. The record is from RNAcentral.